ACGCUGGCGGCACGCCUAACACAUGCAAGUCGAACGAAGUAGCAAUACUUAGUGGCAGACGGGUGAGUAACAUGUAGGUAUCUGCCCUUUGGCCUGGAAUAACACGAGGAAACUUGUGCUAAUACCGGAUAAGUCUUUACGGAGAAAGCUUUAUGCACCAUUGGAUGAGCCUGCACUUGAUUAGUUUGUUGGUGGGGUAAUGGCCUACCAAGACUGUGAUCAAUAGCUGAUUUGAGAGGAUGAUCAGCCACAUUGGGACUGAGACACGGCCCAAACUCCUACGGGAGGCAGCAGUGGGGAAUCUUGCACAAUGGAGGAAACUCUGAUGCAGCGAUGCCGCGUGAGUGAAGAAGGCCUUUGGGUUGUAAAGCUCUUUCGUCGGGGAAGAAAAUGACUGUACCCGAAUAAGAAGGUCCGGCUAACUUCGUGCCAGCAGCCGCGGUAAUACGAAGGGACCUAGCGUAGUUCGGAAUUACUGGGCUUAAAGAGUUCGUAGGUGGUUGAAAAAGUUAGUGGUGAAAUCCCAGAGCUUAACUCUGGAACUGCCAUUAAAACUUUUCAGCUAGAGUAUGAUAGAGGAAAGCAGAAUUUCUAGUGUAGAGGUGAAAUUCGUAGAUAUUAGAAAGAAUACCAAUUGCGAAGGCAGCUUUCUGGAUCAUUACUGACACUGAGGAACGAAAGCAUGGGUAGCGAAGAGGAUUAGAUACCCUCGUAGUCCAUGCCGUAAACGAUGUGUGUUAGACGUUGGAAAUUUAUUUUCAGUGUCGCAGGGAAACCGAUAAACACACCGCCUGGGGAGUACGACCGCAAGGUUAAAACUCAAAUGAAUUGACGGGGACCCGCACAAGUAGUGGAGCAUGUGGUUUAAUUCGAAGAUACGCGCAGAACCUUACCAACACUUGACAUGUUCGUCGCGACUCUAAGAGAUUAGAGUUUUCGGUUCGGCCGGACGAAACACAGGUGCUGCAUGGCUGUCGUCAGCUCGUGUCGUGAGAUGUUGGGUUAAGUCCCGCAACGAGCGCAACCCUCACUUUUAGUUGCCAUCAUUAAGUUGGGCACUCUGAAAGAACUGCCAGUGAUAAGCUGGAGGAAGGUGGGGAUGACGUCAAGUCCUCAUGGCCCUUACGUGUUGGGCUACACACGUGCUACAAUGGUAUCUACAACAGGAAGCAAGACUGCGAAGUUAAGCAAAUCCCUAAAAGAUACCUCAGUUCGGAUUGCACUCUGCAACUCGAGUGCAUGAAGCUGGAAUUACUAGUAAUCGUGGAUCAGCGUGCCACGGUGAAUGCGUUCCCGGGUCUUGUACUCACCGCCCG
Molecule: ribosomal RNA, 1316 nt
Filed under: uncultured Alphaproteobacteria bacterium
Lineage: Bacteria; Pseudomonadati; Pseudomonadota; Alphaproteobacteria
Description: uncultured alpha proteobacterium 16S ribosomal RNA
Rfam family: Bacterial small subunit ribosomal RNA
Source: RNAcentral